UAUUAAAAAUUACAUCCAUUUGUAUGGUUAAAAAUUGACAUGCUUGACAAAAUAACUAGACAAUAACAUGUGGUGUCACGUGUACGUCAUGCUAACGCAAAUGGACCAGUUUUUAACAGUAAAAAUUGAUGGAAUUUUUAAUG
MicroRNA precursor from Gossypium arboreum, 143 nucleotides. It matches the Rfam family "MIR7502 microRNA precursor family". NCBI's taxonomy places the organism in Eukaryota, Viridiplantae, Streptophyta, Magnoliopsida, Malvales, Malvaceae. The record is from Rfam.